This 853-nucleotide ribosomal RNA is filed under the name human gut metagenome. RNAcentral describes it as "bacterial SSU rRNA". It matches the Rfam family "Bacterial small subunit ribosomal RNA", at positions 69 to 919 of the family's 1533-position model. The record is from RNAcentral.
AAUCUUCUUCGGAAGAUGAGUGGCGAACGGGUGAGUAAUACAUAGGUAACCUGCCCCUGUGCGGGGGAUAACAGGAGGAAACUCCUGCUAAUACCGCAUAGCCAUGAGCACCGCAUGGAGCUCAUGCCAAAUAUCCUUUCGGGGAUAGCGCAGGGAUGGACCUAUGGCGCAUUAGCUAGUUGGCGGGGCAACGGCCCACCAAGGCAACGAUGCGUAGCCGGCCUGAGAGGGCGGACGGCCACAUUGGGACUGAGACACGGCCCAGACUCCUACGGGAGGCAGCAGUAGGGAAUUUUCGGCAAUGGGGGAAACCCUGACCGAGCAACGCCGCGUGAGCGAAGAAGGCCUUCGGGUCGUAAAGCUCUGUUGUAAAGGAAGAACGGCGCAUACAGGAAAUGGUAUGCGAGUGACGGUACUUUACCAGAAAGCCACGGCUAACUACGUGCCAGCAGCCGCGGUAAUACGUAGGUGGCGAGCGUUAUCCGGAAUCAUUGGGCGUAAAGAGGGAGCAGGCGGCCGCAAGGGUCUGUGGUGAAAGACCGAAGCUAAACUUCGGUAAGCCAUGGAAACCGGGCGGCUAGAGUGCGGAAGAGGAUCGUGGAAUUCCAUGUGUAGCGGUGAAAUGCGUAGAUAUAUGGAGGAACACCAGUGGCGAAGGCGACGGUCUGGGCCGCAACUGACGCUCAUUCCCGAAAGCGUGGGGAGCAAAUAGGAUUAGAUACCCUAGUAGUCCACGCCGUAAACGAUGAGUACUAAGUGUCGGGGGUCAAACCCCGGUGCUGCAGUCAACGCAAUAAGUGACCCGCCUGAGUAGUACGUUCGCAAGAAUGAAACUCAAAGGAAUUGACGGGGG